RNAcentral lists this non-coding RNA (23 nucleotides) under Arabidopsis thaliana (thale cress). The record is from RNAcentral. Lineage: Eukaryota; Viridiplantae; Streptophyta; Magnoliopsida; Brassicales; Brassicaceae.
UACAACUAUGUGUAUUCUGAAUA